AGGACGAACGCUGGCGGCGUGCUUAACACAUGCAAGUCGAGCGGAAAGGCCCUUCGGGGUACUCGAGCGGCGAACGGGUGAGUAACACGUGAGUAAUCUGCCCCUAGCUCUGGGAUAGCUCCGGGAAACCGGGAUUAAUACCGGAUACGACCACCUUAGACAUCUUUUGUGGUGGAAAGAAUUUCGGCUAGGGAUGGACUCACGGCCUAUCAGCUAGUUGGUGGGGUAAAGGCCUACCAAGGCGACGACGGGUA
This 254-nucleotide ribosomal RNA is filed under the name uncultured bacterium. Its description in RNAcentral is "partial small subunit ribosomal RNA". It matches the Rfam family "Bacterial small subunit ribosomal RNA", at positions 26 to 285 of the family's 1533-position model. The record is from RNAcentral.